RNAcentral lists this transfer RNA (526 nucleotides) under Helianthus annuus (common sunflower). The stretch from base 445 to 526 matches the Rfam family "tRNA". The record is from RNAcentral. Lineage: Eukaryota; Viridiplantae; Streptophyta; Magnoliopsida; Asterales; Asteraceae.
GACGCUUUGGCCGAGUGGUUAAGGCGUGUGCCUGCUAAGUACAUGGGGUUUCGCCGCGAGAUUUCGAAUCUCUCAGGCGUAGAUUCUUUUUUAAUAUUUUGUAUUUCAAUGUUUCUCAGUGAAUACAUAAAGUAUUUUGAUUUCUUAUGCUUUUAACGGAUCUCUCUGUUUUUUUUUUAGUAUUUGGGGUUUAUAAGGCACAUGUAUAUUGAAUUCGAAUGCGCGUUAACUUUUACUUCUACACGAAAAUGCUAGCACUUUCGUUCAAAGUUAAUGCGUUGUAUACGUAAUGUCGCCAUCCAGAUUGCCUUAGGCAUGUACGCGGUUACUGUUCGUAUGGUUUUCUCCUUUUAAUGUUAAUAUUUAAAACACAAUAGACAGUAAGAACAAAGGUUACCAACACAAAGUAAAUUAAUAUAUGGACUAUUUAUAGAUGUCAACAAAGACGCUUUGGCCGAGUGGUUAAGGCGUGUGCCUGCUAAGUACAUGGGGUUUCCCCGCGAGAGUUCGAAUCUCUCAGGCGUCG